Molecule: non-coding RNA, 23 nt
Filed under: Cricetulus griseus (Chinese hamster)
Lineage: Eukaryota; Metazoa; Chordata; Mammalia; Rodentia; Cricetidae
Source: RNAcentral
UGGACCAGGACCAGGAAGCAACU